This 342-nucleotide small RNA is filed under the name Pan troglodytes (chimpanzee). RNAcentral's name for it is "processed transcript". Lineage: Eukaryota; Metazoa; Chordata; Mammalia; Primates; Hominidae. The record is from RNAcentral.
UAUCAAAGGUGCAGAAUCUGGGACAAGUUGCAUGAAGAGCAUAUCAAUGCAGGACGUACAGUUCAGCAACUCCGAUCCAAUAUCCGAGAAAUUGAGAAACUUUGUUUGAAAGUCCGAAAGGAUGACCUAGUACUUCUGAAAAGAAUGAUAGAUCCUGUUAAAGAAGAAGCAUCAGCAGCAACAGCAGAAUUUCUCCAACUCCAUUUGGAAUCUGUAGAAGAACUUAAGAAGCAAUUUAAUGAUGAAGAAACUUUGCUACAGCCUCCUUUGACCAGAUCUAUGACUGUUGGUGGAAGCUGAUUGGUAUAUAAAAAAAAAGUUCGGCAGAUUUUGAAGAAGUAU